Zootermopsis nevadensis is the source of this 2011-nucleotide long non-coding RNA. RefSeq lists it as uncharacterized. The record is from RefSeq and is a predicted model, not a curated record. Lineage: Eukaryota; Metazoa; Arthropoda; Insecta; Blattodea; Termopsidae.
AUGUGAAACGUCUGUUAAAUUAAUAUUUUAUUAGUCAUAUGUAUGAAUGAUACAUAGUAUAUUGUGAAGAAUUCCCCAAUAGAAAUUAAUUUUAUACGCAAGAAAUUAACCUCCUAAUUAACCAUUAAUGUUAUUUUCCGUGGGAUGAGUUACCAUAUCGAUAUUCGUACAUUUUCUUUCCAGGUUAAAAAUUUAAGAUGGUAAAGGCUGUGAAUAAUUGUUAACGCCAUUUAUUCUCAGAUUGCUGUGUGUGUGUGUGUGUUUAUCUACGAGAGUUAAGACUAUCCGAACACAGUUUGAUUAUGCUUCAAUUUGGUCAAAGCUAGAGUAUGCUUUUGUUGAACCAUGGCAUAGCAAAGGGAAUUCAUCUCUGUCGUCUCAUCAUGGCCCACAUUCACUCCAGUGGGAUUUGUGGUAGACAAAAUGGCACUGGGCCAGGUUUUUCUUGAAGUUCAGCUUCCGUUGUCAGUAUCAUUCACCACUGCUCCAUUUUCAGUCAUGUAUCAUUUGUACCAUCUGAUGUUGAUGCAAUGACUUGUAGAUGGGUGAUUUAGAAGCAUGUACUGAAGAUGCAGGCAUAUCGGCAGAAAUCAAAUUUAAAUGGCACUUAAGGUAGCUGAGAAUGGAUAAAACAGAGUGGAAACUGCAGUACUCUGAAUCCGGUUCCCCUGCCCUUCGGAAUUGGAUGCGACUGCACAGCUCUGCCAGAAUCACAAGGUCAAGGAUGAUGGGACUAGCUAACAGUGAGUCUUCACAUGUAUUAUGGAUUACUAAAGUGUUAUGGCCACCAAGAAGAAUCUCUGAUGUAUAUUCAUCCAUGGCUCGCUUGCUGUCACCUAUAAAAACAGACACUGCAGCAAUGAAGUCUGGGAAGUAAAUGGAGGGCCGUGGCUUCAUGAUUUGCAUAUAAGGACGAAGCUGUUGCUGAAGAUUCACAUCAAGCACUUGGGCUCUCUUCAUGGCAUCAGACAAGUUCAUUGAUGAUAUGUCCCAGCCAUCUACAAUAAUAUCAUCAGGACUCACCAUUGGAAGAAACUGGGACAUAGGGAUGUAAACACCUUGCCCAUUUGUUCCAGUACCCAGGCGAACUGUAGAGGCUUGCGUGAUUGAGCCAUACCUGCAACAACAGGCAGCAAUAGUGUGGAUUAUCAAUAAUGUAAUUUUAUAAGAAUAUUCAGUGCUUUUACUGCAAGAAUUAGGGUAAAUUGAAGUUAUCAGAGACAUUACAUAUGUGAACUGGUAAGGACUGACCUAUAGAAUGUUUAUUUUUAUAUUCAUGAGGAGCAGUAGUUUAACUUCCAUGGUACCCAACCAAAUUCAGGAUGAAGUUUAUUGAAAGUUCUUAGUACAAAAGCAGUAGUCUGUCUCACCAGUCAGCCUUAUGCACCCCUUCUUUGGUUUCCCAGCUGAGCUGUAGCUUAUUUGCAAGAAGGGCUGCAGUGACAGUGGAGCCAUUGUUUCCACCCCAUCCAACAAGCAUGAGUCCCAACUUAGGAAGUUGACGUUUAGUUUGGAUAUGCAGUUUUGUCGUCACUGGCGUUGCCUGUUUGAAUCAAUAAGAGUUAAACAAAAAUAAAUAAACGUUAUAAGAAUACUUUCUUUACAAUUUUACAUACCAAGGAAACCACUUGCAAAUUAAUGCAGAGAAAAGUAAUGGACAAAAGAAAUAUUUAAGAGGGUAGGAAGCAACUGAAUUAUGAGCAAUUUUGUGAAUCAUGCUUUUCCCCUAAUAUUUUUAAACAGUUACGUCAAAGGCUUGAACACAUAAGCUGUAUGGGCAAAACACACCAACACAACAGAGAGUUUUGUUGUGGCAGUCAAUUGAAAGAUCAAAAUAGGAUGAUAAAAUAACAUGAAAGUGUAUCAUGGGAAAACAUGUUAUAGUAAUGUGGAUCAUAGAAAUGUGUCUAUAGAUGGUGGAAUUUGUGUUGGCAUUGUUGAGCCAUUAUGCUAGUCCACACAAUGUAACUGUAUCAAUAUAUUACAAAACAAUGUAUUUGUAUGUGUAGUA